GGGUUCAUCCGUUGGUCGGGCUUUUUGGUCUGUGCUGGCGUGAUGGAUUCCUACCUUCUGAAUAACCGGCAUGUCAUUAAUUUGGUGCGCCGGGGAAGCAGGACUGUUACUUUGAGAAAAUUAGAGUGUUCAAAGCAGGCUUAUGCCCGAAUACAUUAGCAUGGAAUAAUAAAAUAGGACGCGCGGUUCUAUUUUGUUGGUUUCUAGAGUCGCCGUA
RNAcentral lists this ribosomal RNA (217 nucleotides) under Campeiostachys nutans. RNAcentral describes it as "Elymus nutans partial small subunit ribosomal RNA". The stretch from base 47 to 217 matches the Rfam family "Eukaryotic small subunit ribosomal RNA", at positions 692 to 864 of the family's 1831-position model. The record is from RNAcentral. Lineage: Eukaryota; Viridiplantae; Streptophyta; Magnoliopsida; Poales; Poaceae.